Molecule: ribosomal RNA, 562 nt
Filed under: uncultured bacterium
Lineage: Bacteria
Description: partial 16S ribosomal RNA
Rfam family: Bacterial small subunit ribosomal RNA
Source: RNAcentral
UGGGGGAAUUUUGGACAAUGGGCGAAAGCCUGAUCCAGCAAUGCCGCGUGUGUGAAGAAGGCCUUCGGGUUGUAAAGCACUUUUGUCCGGAAAGAAAUCCUUGGCUCUAAUACAGUCGGGGGAUGACGGUACCGGAAGAAUAAGCACCGGCUAACUACGUGCCAGCAGCCGCGGUAAUACGUAGGGUGCAAGCGUUAAUCGGAAUUACUGGGCGUAAAGCGUGCGCAGGCGGUUUGCUAAGACCGAUGUGAAAUCCCCGGGCUCAACCUGGGAACUGCAUUGGUGACUGGCAGGCUAGAGUAUGGCAGAGGGGGGUAGAAUUCCACGUGUAGCAGUGAAAUGCGUAGAGAUGUGGAGGAAUACCGAUGGCGAAGGCAGCCCCCUGGGCCAAUACUGACGCUCAUGCACGAAAGCGUGGGGAGCAAACAGGAUUAGAUACCCUGGUAGUCCACGCCCUAAACGAUGUCAACUAGUUGUUGGGGAUUCAUUUCCUUAGUAACGUAGCUAACGCGUGAAGUUGACCGCCUGGGGAGUACGGUCGCAAGAUUAAAACUUAAAUGAA